Molecule: ribosomal RNA, 474 nt
Filed under: uncultured bacterium
Lineage: Bacteria
Description: bacterial SSU rRNA
Rfam family: Bacterial small subunit ribosomal RNA
Source: RNAcentral
ACUCCUACGGGAGGCAGCAGUGGGGAAUUUUGGACAAUGGGCGCAAGCCUGAUCCAGCAAUACCGCGUGCAGGAAGAAGGCCUUCGGGUUGUAAACUGCUUUUGUACGGAACGAAAAAGGUCUUGGUUAAUACCUGGGGCUCAUGACGGUACCGUAAGAAUAAGCACCGGCUAACUACGUGCCAGCAGCCGCGGUAAUACGUAGGGUGCGAGCGUUAAUCGGAAUUACUGGGCGUAAAGCGUGCGCAGGCGGUUAUGUAAGACAGGUGUGAAAUCCCCGAGCUCAACUUGGGGAAUUGCACUUGUGACUGCAUAACUAGAGUGCGGCAGAGGGGGAUGGAAUUCCGCGUGUAGCAGUGAAAUGCGUAGAUAUGCGGAGGAACACCGAUGGCGAAGGCAAUCCCCUGGGCCUGCACUGACGCUCAUGCACGAAAGCGUGGGGAGCAAACAGGAUUAGAUACCCUGGUAGGUCAGU